This 946-nucleotide ribosomal RNA is filed under the name uncultured Chryseobacterium sp. RNAcentral describes it as "bacterial SSU rRNA". It matches the Rfam family "Bacterial small subunit ribosomal RNA", at positions 544 to 1504 of the family's 1533-position model. Lineage: Bacteria; Pseudomonadati; Bacteroidota; Flavobacteriia; Flavobacteriales; Weeksellaceae. The record is from RNAcentral.
UCCGGAUUUAUUGGGUUUAAAGGGUCCGUAGGCGGAUCUGUAAGUCAGUGGUGAAAUCUCACAGCUUAACUGUGAAACUGCCAUUGAUACUGCAGGUCUUGAGUAAGGUAGAAGUGGCUGGAAUAAGUAGUGUAGCGGUGAAAUGCAUAGAUAUUACUUAGAACACCAAUUGCGAAGGCAGGUCACUAUGUCUUAACUGACGCUGAUGGACGAAAGCGUGGGGAGCGAACAGGAUUAGAUACCCUGGUAGUCCACGCUGUAAACGAUGCUAACUCGUUUUUGGGUUUUCGGAUUCAGAGACUAAGCGAAAGUGAUAAGUUAGCCACCUGGGGAGUACGAACGCAAGUUUGAAACUCAAAGGAAUUGACGGGGGCCCGCACAAGCGGUGGAUUAUGUGGUUUAAUUCGAUGAUACGCGAGGAACCUUACCAAGGCUUAAAUGGGAAUUGAUCGGUUUAGAAAUAGACCUCCCUUCGGGCAAUUUUCAAGGUGCUGCAUGGUUGUCGUCAGCUCGUGCCGUGAGGUGUUAGGUUAAGUCCUGCAACGAGCGCAACCCCUGUUACUAGUUGCUACCAUUAAGUUGAGGACUCUAGUAAGACUGCCUACGCAAGUAGAGAGGAAGGUGGGGAUGACGUCAAAUCAUCACGGCCCUUACGCCUUGGGCCACACACGUAAUACAAUGGCCGGUACAGAGGGCAGCUACACAGCGAUGUGAUGCAAAUCUCGAAAGCCGGUCUCAGUUCGGAUUGGAGUCUGCAACUCGACUCUAUGAAGCUGGAAUCGCUAGUAAUCGCGCAUCAGCCAUGGCGCGGUGAAUACGUUCCCGGGCCUUGUACACACCGCCCGUCAAGCCAUGGAAGUCUGGGGUACCUGAAGUCGGUGACCGUAAAAGGAGCUGCCUAGGGUAAAACAGGUAACUAGGGCUAAGUCGUAACAAGGUAACCGUA